This 26-nucleotide small RNA is filed under the name Bombyx mori (domestic silkworm). RNAcentral's name for it is "ovarian small RNA-30482". The record is from RNAcentral. Lineage: Eukaryota; Metazoa; Arthropoda; Insecta; Lepidoptera; Bombycidae.
UGAAAGCCGAUACACUAAAUUCUAUA